This 759-nucleotide ribosomal RNA is filed under the name uncultured Methanosarcina sp. RNAcentral describes it as "bacterial SSU rRNA". It matches the Rfam family "Archaeal small subunit ribosomal RNA", at positions 102 to 859 of the family's 1478-position model. Lineage: Archaea; Methanobacteriati; Methanobacteriota; Methanomicrobia; Methanosarcinales; Methanosarcinaceae. The record is from RNAcentral.
GGAUAACCUGCCCUUGGGACCGGCAUAACCCCGGGAAACUGGGGAUAAUUCCGGAUAACGCAUAUUUGCUGGAAUGCUUUAUGCGUCAAAAGGAUUCGUCUGCCCAAGGAUGGGUCUGCGGCCUAUCAGGUAGUAGUGGGUGUAAUGUACCUACUAGCCAGCGACGGGUACGGGUUGUGAGAGCAAGAGCCCGGAGAUGGAUUCUGAGACAUGAAUCCAGACCCUACGGGGCGCAGCAGGCGCGAAAACUUUACAAUGCGGGAAACCGUGAUAAGGGGACACCGAGUGCCAGCAUCAUAUGCUGGCUGUCCGGAUGUGUAAAAUACAUCCGUUAGCAAGGGCCGGGCAAGACCGGUGCCAGCCGCCGCGGUAACACCGGCGGCCCGAGUGGUGAUCGUGAUUAUUGGGUCUAAAGGGUCCGUAGCCGGUUUGGUCAGUCCUCCGGGAAAUCUGAUAGCUCAACUAUUAGGCUUUCGGGGGAUACUGCCAGACUUGGAACCGGGAGAGGUAAGAGGUACUACAGGGGUAGGAGUGAAAUCUUGUAAUCCCUGUGGGACCACCUGUGGCGAAGGCGUCUUACCAGAACGGGUUCGACGGUGAGGGACGAAAGCUGGGGGCACGAACCGGAUUAGAUACCCGGGUAGUCCCAGCCGUAAACGAUGCUCGCUAGGUGUCAGGCAUGGCGCGACCGUGUCUGGUGCCGCAGGGAAGCCGUGAAGCGAGCCACCUGGGAAGUACGGCCGCAAGGCUGAAACUUAA